RNAcentral lists this ribosomal RNA (700 nucleotides) under uncultured bacterium. Its description in RNAcentral is "bacterial SSU rRNA". It matches the Rfam family "Bacterial small subunit ribosomal RNA", at positions 57 to 751 of the family's 1533-position model. The record is from RNAcentral.
GCAGUCGAACGGCAGCACGGGAGCAAUCCUGGUGGCGAGUGGCGAACGGGUGAGUAAUAUAUCGGAACGUGCCCAGUCGUGGGGGAUAACGCAGCGAAAGCUGUGCUAAUACCGCAUACGAUCUCUGGAUGAAAGCGGGGGACCUGUAAGGGCCUCGCGCGAUUGGAGCGGCCGAUAUCAGAUUAGCUAGUUGGUGGGGUAAAAGCUCACCAAGGCGACGAUCUGUAGCUGGUCUGAGAGGACGACCAGCCACACUGGAACUGAGACACGGUCCAGACUCCUACGGGAGGCAGCAGUGGGGAAUUUUGGGCAAUGGGCGCAAGCCUGAUCCAGCAAUGCCGCGUGCAGGAUGAAGGCCUUCGGGUUGUAAACUGCUUUUGUACGGAACGAAACGGCUCCUUUUAAUACAGGGGGCUAAUGACGGUACCGUAAGAAUAAGCACCGGCUAACUACGUGCCAGCAGCCGCGGUAAUACGUAGGGUGCGAGCGUUAAUCGGAAUUACUGGGCGUAAAGCGUGCGCAGGCGGUGAUGUAAGACAGAUGUGAAAUCCCCGGGCUCAACCUGGGACCUGCAUUUGUGACUGCAUCGCUAGAGUACGGUAGAGGGGGAUGGAAUUCCGCGUGUAGCAGUGAAAUGCGUAGAUAUGCGGAGGAACACCGAUGGCGAAGGCAAUCCCCUGGACCUGUACUGACGCUCAUG